This 418-nucleotide ribosomal RNA is filed under the name uncultured bacterium. Its description in RNAcentral is "bacterial SSU rRNA". It matches the Rfam family "Bacterial small subunit ribosomal RNA", at positions 362 to 776 of the family's 1533-position model. The record is from RNAcentral.
UAUUGGGCAAUGGAGGCAACUCUGACCCAGCCAUGCCGCGUGCAGGAUGAAGGCGCUCAGCGUUGUAAACUGCUUUUAUCUGGGAAGAAAAGUAGUCCUGCGGGAUUAUGUGACGGUACCAGAGGAAUAAGCACCGGCUAACUCCGUGCCAGCAGCCGCGGUAAUACGGAGGGUGCAAGCGUUGUCCGGAUUUAUUGGGUUUAAAGGGUGCGUAGGUGGUUUUUUCAAGUCUGGUUUGAAAGCUGGUCGCUUAACGAUCAGAUGUGGCUGGAAACUGAGGAACUUGAAUGCGUUGGCGGUAGCCGGAACGGGUCAUGUAGCGGUGAAAUGCAUAGAUAUGACCCAGAACACCGAUUGCGAAGGCAGGCUACUACGACGUGAUUGACACUGAGGCACGAGAGCAUGGGUAGCGAACAGG